AUGAAGUGCUGGGCCAGUUGCUGGGCACCGGACAACAGAACGUUCUGUGACACCGGAAAGGUCCUGUACCUGCCCUGUCCAGCAAGGGAGCCACCAGCCUCCUGUGAGCCUCUACCGUGGGGACUGGAUCUCCCACCUCCGGGAAGCGCCGGCCAGGACCGGGUGCCGAGACAGAAGGCGACCCCGGGGGAGUCGUGCGGACACUCCACUGCCCCUAAACGUCCGGGAGGUGAGGUGCUUAUCCAACAGAAGGGCUGAGUCCCUGGAGACCAUGCCCAGACCCCCUCCCCCCACCCGAACCGCCUGACCUCGGAGAAGCCACCUGACCUCGGUCCGUCCCAACCCCGCAGGUGACCCUUCCUGGCCCAGGUGACCCUGACCGGGGCCCAGAGGCCCUGCUCUAACAGCAGAUGCUACCUGGGAGACAGGGCCAGCGCGGACACAGGACUGUGGGACAGUGUGCCUCUCAGUAUGGUUCCUCUGCUCGCCCCUAAAAUGGCCCCUGGUGGCUGAAGGAAUAAACGCGGAGAAGUACCUGGCA
RNAcentral lists this long non-coding RNA (541 nucleotides) under Felis catus (domestic cat). RNAcentral describes it as "lncRNA (ENSFCAG00000046153.2)". The record is from RNAcentral. Lineage: Eukaryota; Metazoa; Chordata; Mammalia; Carnivora; Felidae.